CCUACGGGUGGCAGCAGUAGGGAAUAUUGCUCAAUGGGGGAAACCCUGAAGCAGCAACGCCGCGUGGAGGAUGAAGGUUUUCGGAUUGUAAACUCCUUUUGUGAGAGAAGAUAAUGACGGUAUCUAACGAAUAAGCACCGGCUAACUCCGUGCCAGCAGCCGCGGUAAUACGGAGGGUGCAAGCGUUACUCGGAAUCACUGGGCGUAAAGAGGGCGUAGGCGGGAUAGCAAGUCAGAUGUGAAAUCCUAUGGCUUAGCCAUAGAACUGCAUUUGAAACUGUUAUUCUAGAGUAUGGGAGAGGUAGGUGGAAUUCUUGGUGUAGGGGUAAAAUCCGUAGAGAUCAAGAGGAAUACUCAUUGCGAAGGCGACCUGCUAGAACAUAACUGACGCUGAUGCGCGAAAGCGUGGGGAGCAAACAGGAUUAGAUACCCGAGUAGUC
RNAcentral lists this ribosomal RNA (440 nucleotides) under uncultured bacterium. Its description in RNAcentral is "partial 16S ribosomal RNA". It matches the Rfam family "Bacterial small subunit ribosomal RNA", at positions 338 to 795 of the family's 1533-position model. The record is from RNAcentral.